AUCCCUAGGCCUCUAGAGAUCGUGACCUGUGAAGAGAUGAUGCCACCAUAGAGGACUUCUAAAUGUAUCCAUAAUCCUGAAACAGACCGUAUCAUGAGCAGAUGCUGUGGUGGUCAUGGAGGAGUAGAGAGCAUGAGACUGAUUAAUGAAAGACCCCAGUGACAGAUGAGUGCCCGCAUUGAUCCUGUGGUCCAGCCUGAAAACCCGCUGGUGACCUACUCACACCUGCAGCUUCUCCACGAUGGACGCCCAGUGUUCUUUAGCCUCCAGCGCCUAGACUGCAGCUCUGCACGUAAAGUGUGGCCAGAGGAGAAAUGGUUGUGCCCAACUGAGCCUGGUUUCUCUCAAGGUUUAUUCCUUCACUUUCAUCAAUUGGAACUAAAGUCUACAGCCAGUCUGAAUGCAGCAACUGAAUAAACAGUGGGGUCUUUUUUUUGGUUGAAUUGCAAUAAUAAAAAAAGAGUGUGUGGAUAUUUAGAUUACAUUUCAU
RNAcentral lists this long non-coding RNA (490 nucleotides) under Danio rerio (zebrafish). RNAcentral's name for it is "si:ch1073-291l11.2 (ENSDARG00000095477.4)". Lineage: Eukaryota; Metazoa; Chordata; Actinopteri; Cypriniformes; Danionidae. The record is from RNAcentral.